AGUGAACGCUGGCGGUAGGCCUAACACAUGCAAGUCGAACGGCAGCACAGUAAGAGCUUGCUCUUACGGGUGGCGAGUGGCGGACGAGUGAGGAAUACAUCGGAAUCUACUUUUUCGUGGGGGAUAACGUAGGGAAACUUACGCUAAUACCGCAUACGACCUACGGGUGAAAGCAGGGGAUCUUCGGACCUUGCGCGAUUGAAUGAGCCGAUGUCGGAUUAGCUAGUUGGCGGGGUAAAGGCCCACCAAGGCGACGAUCCGUAGCUGGUCUGAGAGGAUGAUCGGCCACACUGGAACUGAGACACGGUCCAGACUCCUACGGGAGGCAGCAGUGGGGAAUAUUGGACAAUGGGCGCAAGCCUGAUCCAGCCAUACCGCGUGGGUGAAGAAGGCCUUCGGGUUGUAAAGCCCUUUUGUGGGGAAAGAAAAGCAGCAGGUUAAUACCCAGCUGUUCUGACGGUACCCAAAGAAUAAGCACCGGCUAACUUCGUG
RNAcentral lists this ribosomal RNA (492 nucleotides) under uncultured bacterium. Its description in RNAcentral is "partial 16S ribosomal RNA". It matches the Rfam family "Bacterial small subunit ribosomal RNA", at positions 29 to 507 of the family's 1533-position model. The record is from RNAcentral.